Felis catus (domestic cat) is the source of this 3358-nucleotide long non-coding RNA. RefSeq lists it as uncharacterized. NCBI's taxonomy places the organism in Eukaryota, Metazoa, Chordata, Mammalia, Carnivora, Felidae. The transcript is spliced from 8 exons. The record is from RefSeq and is a predicted model, not a curated record.
CACAUUUGUUGUAUUAGUUUUAGGCAUACAUUGUAGUCAUUCCAUAUGUCUAUAAAUUAUGUUGUACUUCAGCACAAGUGUAGCUAUCCUGUGAAAGCAUGCAACAAUAUUAUUACAGGAUUGACUCUAUUCCAUUGGCUGUCUCUUGUAUCCCUGGGACUCAUUCGUUCCAUAGCUGGAAGCAGUUAUCUCUCUCUCAAAGGUGUCAAUUCUUUAUCUAACCUAAAUACUCUGGUGGUAAACACAAUUACUUGCUCAGCAUGUGUAAAUUGGCGGUCUAUUUUGCUGUGGACAUUGCUUAAAACAUUACAAAUGAUGUCAUUGUGUUAAUAAGUUCUGUUUCAUUCUUCACUCAAAUAAAAAAGGAGAAGGAAAAGAUUUCUUUGUGUCCCAGGCCCUGUCACUAAGACCCUUCCCAUUGUGGAGAACAGGCGGAGUUGCCCAGAGCACCUUCAGUCCCUCAGCUGAGCGACCAGGGCCUUCAACAUUGCAGGAAUUCCCAGGGUAGCCAGCAGAGAGAGCUCAAGCACCACAGACCCGGAGGGGCGGGCUGCUCUGCCUAGGCAGUGAUGGCCAGCAGAGGGCGCACUAUUGGCUUUUCUGACCCAGGGCACUUCAGAGCAGGAAGGGCUGCUGCUGCUCCCAGAGGACACAGGGCCUCUACUGCUGUCUCAGGACAGAGAGCAGAGCUGUGUUUCCAGCGGGUUCUGCCACCCGCCCCAGGGGAGACCUUGGGAGCUUUGCAGCAACUUGGCAUCUCCUGAGUCGCCAGAGAGAAGCUGCCUUGUUGUACUGAGUGCUGAGGAGGGGGCCCUGGGUGGCUUCCCUGGGCAUGAUGGUUGCUAAACAGCAUAGGCCCUUGCAUUUUCUGGGUUGUUCCUGUGUUUAAUUCCUCAACUUCCUGGACAGUAUUUGAACAAGUCGUAUUUUACUAAAGGACUCGUGGAUUGUGGGGUUCCACGACUUCACCUCAUAGAUGCAGCCAAUGGUUUGUUCCAGAUUCAGGCUUGUUUCCGGUAAGAAACGCUGACAGAAAUUCAGAAGAACGGGAGCUGCAUUCCAUUAGGACUUGAAUACACGAAAUGUUCGUCUCAGGACCUUCUAGAAGAAUGAGCUGGGACCCACUUUCCGAGUCCUGCUGGAACCAGUGACCGAGAUAUUGCCCAGGUGGCUGAGGCCUGCACUAGGGUACCUACCUCCUUUUCGGAUAGACUGUAUUCCCUUUCCAUGUUUUAGCUGUACCUGUGACACAGGACACGAGAGAAUGUGCUCAUGUGAAUACAAGUGAAGGACACCGUGGGGACUUGCCACACAGAUAUUUGUGCCCAGGGCACACCUGAAGGGACUCUGGACAGCAUGUUUACCAAAAUGCUGAUGGGUAUGAAAUUUACAUUCUAAAGGACACAUACAAAAAUAUAAAUUGGAGUGAAGGCAGUUCGCAUUUUCAAAUUGUAACGAUACCCACAGAUUUUUCUGAGUACGUUAAAAUCCUCAAUAGAAGGAAACAGGAGAGGAAGACACAGCAAGAGCAAAGAUUCCACAUUGAGGAGAUCCACAAAGAAUGAGGCAAGAGACGCCUGUACCAACCCAUGGUGGGGGAAAAGACGAAGAUGAGAUCCUGAGCAACUUGAGGAUUGUGGUAAUGGCAGCAGACACAUUCCCCUUGCAUCACAAUGGUCUGUGGUACCGCCUCUGCACCUUGGCCCAGGACCUAACAGCAACAAAAUAAGGAUCCAAGAGAGUAGCAUCAGUACCUGAAAACUCUGUCCCUGCCACUGGAUAGCACCUACAGCUUGGGGUAGUAGAUGCAAGAGGUUAACCUACUGCCACCACACAUCACUGCCCACGUCUGUGGAAGAAAAUGGCAAUGGUCCUGUCCUAACGGGUUAACAGAAGUAAUUACAGAUUAAUGAAGUAGCAUUCUCCAGACAGGCAGCCAUCGAUGUCCAGGUUCACCCUGCAUCCCUCCUCUACGCCAACUCCAGAUGCUCUGCUUUUGCUAUAUUAAGAACACACAAAAAAUGAGUGGGAACAAAUGGCUCAUAUUCUGCUCAUGGAAUCACAGCCACUCCUGGCAAAAUAUUCUGCAGCCGGACCCUCACUGUGCCUCCUCUGCUCCUCUCCCUGAGAAAGGAGUCUUCCCUCUUGAAGUGUUGUCAAAGGCCUCGGAGACCUGUGGGCAGUGGAGGAUGCCUGGAAUCUUGCAGGGGAAGGAGAGUCUUCUGUGAAGAACGAGUUACUUGUGGUGAAUGUCUACAAAGCUCAGAUGUGUUCAUCUUAAUUCAUAGGGAAUUCUGACUUUAAGCAUACGACAGGACACAGAGUCAUUAUGUGCAAUGGAAAAAAAGAGGGAGAAUUUCACAUAACAGAUUUCACGCAAGUGUUUUGGUAUAAAACUGGUAUGUGUCAUGAGACUAUAUCAGCUCUAACAGUGACUGGGGACACAACCAGCAACUGCUCAUAGAAACACAAUUGAAGGACACAGUGUGCAAAUUGUUUUUACCUAAGGUAUAGCUGGAGGAUUCCAGACAAGUCAUUUACCGACAAAGACGGACAGGUGAUGAGUGAUGAUAUUGGCUUUCUCUGUGACCACUCUAAAUGGCACAGGGCACAUAAUAGAAAGUUGGAGUCAUGAUGUCGUUUCUAACAGGUUCAUCUCCUAGCCAGAAUCAAGAAAGGAAGACACAGCAGCCACACUGUUCCCACAGAGGUGAGGUCUGGAAAGGAUCACCCAGGCCGGGAGACAUCUGUUUGGAGUGUGCAGUCAUCCUCCUCUCAUUAUUUCCUGAACCUCACGGAAAAACCUUAAGACCACACAGGAACAGGCUGCACAGCAGAAAUUGGACUGCAGCACAUCACAACGUGCUCCUUACCUCGCCUUGGAGGGUUCUUGCAGUGAUUGGUUUCUGCCUCGUGUAUCCCUCAGGCAGCCUCUUUGCUUCCAUCCCGUCCAGUCUUGGAUACAGAAAAAUAAUGGACUUCUAUAAGAGUUGCAACACCACGUCGUCUACUAGACAACUAACAGUGCAGGCGUCAUCCCUGGAAACACCCAAGUCAAAUGACCACACCUGUAUUUCAAGGUUGCAAAGACGAGGGCCAUGAAAUGGCACUACCACGUUGAUGGGUAUGAUUCAUUGUACGACACACUGCUUUCCUACAGAUGACGACAAUUGACACCACCCCCGAGGAAUGUUAGCAUGGACAAAGUUUCCACACAGUCUGGUCACUACUUGAGAUCUGCAAAUGUUUAGAAACUUAAUUAUUUUAUUCUUUCUAAAACUUACCUUUUUUAUCUGUUAAUACUCUAUGCAUAUGUUGACUUUAAACUUUUCAAAAAGAUUAAAAACCAAAAAAUGAA